This 377-nucleotide ribosomal RNA is filed under the name uncultured bacterium. Its description in RNAcentral is "bacterial SSU rRNA". It matches the Rfam family "Bacterial small subunit ribosomal RNA", at positions 523 to 898 of the family's 1533-position model. The record is from RNAcentral.
AUACGAAGGUGGCAAGCGUUAUUCGAAAUCACUGGGCUUAAAGGGCGCGUAGGCGGACAUGAAAGUGUUGAGUGAAAUCCCUCGGCUUAACCGAGGAAUUGCUUGGCAAACUACAUGUCUUGAGUCAAGUAGGGGUGUGUGGAACUCUUGGUGGAGCGGUGGAAUGCGUAGAUAUCAAGAGGAACGCCGAAGGUGAAGACAGCACACUGGGCUUGAACUGACGCUGAGGCGCGAAAGCGUGGGGAGCAAACAGGAUUAGAUACCCUGGUAGUCCACGCCGUAAACGAUGUCUACUAGGUUGCGGGGGUUCUGACACCGUCGCAGUCGUAGCAAAAGUAUUAAGUAGACCGCCUGGGGAGUACGGUCGCAAGGCUAAA